AUUGAACGCUGGCGGCAGGCCUAACACAUGCAAGUCGGACGGUAGCACAGAGGAGCUUGCUCCUCGGGUGACGAGUGGCGGACGGGUGAGUAAUGUCUGGGGAUCUGCCCGAUAGAGGGGGAUAACCACUGGAAACGGUGGCUAAUACCGCAUAACGUCGCAAGACCAAAGAGGGGGACCUUCGGGCCUCUCACUAUCGGAUGAACCCAGAUGGGAUUAGCUAGUAGGCGGGGUAACGGCCCACCUAGGCGACGAUCCCUAGCUGGACUGAGAAGAUGAACAGCCACACUGGAACUGGGACAAGGGCAAGACUCCUACGGGAGGCAGCAGUGGGGAAUAUUGCACAAUGGGCGCAAGCCUGAUGCAGCCAUGCCGCGUGUAUGAAGAAGGCCUUCGGGUUGUAAGGUACUUUCAGCGGGGAGGAAGGCGAUGUGGUUAAUAACCGCAUUGAUUGACGUUACCCGCAGAAGAAGCACCGGCUAACUCCGUGCCAGCAGCCGCCGUAA
RNAcentral lists this ribosomal RNA (506 nucleotides) under uncultured bacterium. Its description in RNAcentral is "partial 16S ribosomal RNA". It matches the Rfam family "Bacterial small subunit ribosomal RNA", at positions 29 to 523 of the family's 1533-position model. The record is from RNAcentral.